Long non-coding RNA from Carassius carassius (crucian carp), 822 nucleotides. RefSeq lists it as uncharacterized. The record is from RefSeq and is a predicted model, not a curated record. NCBI's taxonomy places the organism in Eukaryota, Metazoa, Chordata, Actinopteri, Cypriniformes, Cyprinidae. The transcript is spliced from 4 exons.
UAAAGAAAAAUAUCGAGUGGAUGUCAUUAACCUCUCACGCAAAAGCUAUUUCUGUUUGCUUUCUGAUAACUUGACUUUUAGGAAAUACAUUUGCAUUCUGGGUUUCUGAAAAUGUAAGAGGUUAUGACUCAAAAUUAAAAAUUAAAUUAAACUCAAAUAACACUAAGUAAAUUUAUGUAAAGACAAUGCUGAACAUAAAUAUGCCUUCUCAUUCUGAAACGGAAAGUAACAUUAGACAUAUGCAUACCCAGUCGUGCUUAAAUAUGAAAUAAAUAGUUAAAACUAGGCUGCUGUCAUGUGUACCCAGAGGUACGCAAAUUACGUAAGCUAUUCGAAACGCAGGUUGCGUUAGAGACGUACUGUAGCUCUACCAAUUGAAAUACAUUAAAAGGUCACAUGAUUCUCCACAAACUCUCGUGUUCUGUCACUUGUUUCGAACUGGUUAUACUAAAAGGAAUCCCGUCCAUAAUUACGCCUGAAUUAUUGUAUGCUUUGGCGCAAAUGGGUCAUGGAGAUGAACUAGUUCUUGCAGACGCAAAUUUUCCAACAUCAUCUAUUUGUAAAUGUGGUCCAGUGGAGAUAAGAGCGGACGGUAUGUGUCCUACAAGCGUCUAGACUAUUACUAAAUAAAGCAGGUGUAGGUAUACCAGAACUUCUGAAGGCAAUUCUAAAGCUUUUUCCUCUUGAUACCUAUGAUGAUUCGGCAGCUGUCAUGGACCUUGUGCACAGUGACAAAUUUAAGGGUCUGAAAGUGCCGGUAUGGGACCAGUACUCUGACCUCCUGAAACAAGCAGAAUCAGAUGUAAGCUAUUAUAUACAUAA